This 1468-nucleotide long non-coding RNA is filed under the name Scleropages formosus (Asian bonytongue). RNAcentral's name for it is "lncRNA (ENSSFOG00015026801.1)". The record is from RNAcentral. Lineage: Eukaryota; Metazoa; Chordata; Actinopteri; Osteoglossiformes; Osteoglossidae.
CAAGAAAUUAAUGAGCAGGAAGAAAAAAUGAAAAAUAACCCUUUCAUCUUUCAUCCUAUGGAUGACUCAAGUUUUGCUGCCAUCACAUGUACACAGUUGUCACUUGAGGACCUGUGGAAGCAGCAGUGUGACUGUGCUGCUGUACUGAAAGAAGUAUUUGCAGUGGAAAGACACUUUCUGUUUCCGCGCAUGUUCUUUCACUUUCCACCAGUCAUCAUUCCGCUUCGACAAAUUUGGAGGAAUCUGGCCACAUCUUUCUGGAAACUGAGCACAUUUGAAAUGAGUGUCAUUGAAAAGUUUAAAAAUAUCAUCAAUGAUAUGUUGGAAAUCUUAAAGCAAAUGCCUGUGUUUCUGGAUCUGCGGGGUGGUGAAAUAGCCAAGCACAUGGUGUCUGUGUUGGUGACCAUGGCUAAACAUCUGGAAAAGGAUGUUGCUGAAGCCCGAGAAAGGUACCACCUUUCAUUAAUUUGAUGUUAAAAACUUUAUUUCUUUACGUUUAUUCAUUUAGCUACUGCUUUUAUCUGAAUAUUCUCACAGUUUGUGAUGUUAAACAACUUGCCGCAUAGGCGUACGAGCUGUUGCAUUUAGACCCAAAAGUUCUAGGUUCAAGUCCCACCUCCAGCUGUUAUACCCUUGAGCAAAGUACUUACAUUACCCAGCAAGUUUUUUUUUUUUUUUUUUUUCUUUUUUUUGAUCAUGAUCAGUGAGCAAACUGAGGUGCAGUGCUUCUUUUACAUGAUUUAGUGGUCAGUCAUUACAUUGCAUUUUUCCUCUAGUAAACACAGUCAUGUUCUCUUUUUCAGGUCUGGAGAAAGUUUCAGUAUAUGUGUGAAAAAUACUUGGAAGGAAACAAAGCCAGUGAACUGGAAAAGCUUUAUGAUUUUCUCAAGAGAAAGAUGAAUGAAGACGAAAAUGAUUAUGAUAGUGAUUUGUCAGAUGGCAUCACAAGUACAAGUUGGACAUGAAGCCACAAAUGCAACUUAUUCUCGUACAGUCCUCUGUCCUCAAGUCGGACUCAUUCGCGGGGUUACAAAUGAAGCCAAAGACAAAGCAUCACAGAGGACUGUCCAUUUUUAUGAACUUUUAGUCCUGAUCAGAGUCAAGGGGUUUCAGAGCCGAUCCUGGAAUCACUGGGUGCAAGGUAGAGAGGGAAGAGCCCUGGACAGGACACCAGCGUAUCUUCACAUGACACUAUACAUGAAAAUAAUAUGUGAAAUUAACAACAACAACAACAACAAAAAAGAUUGGAAACACGAGUAAAUACAUGUAUUAGUAAAUUAGUGUUUUAAGUGACUCAACUUUUACAUGAGUAAAUUAGGUAUCUAUGUGAUGACUGGUAACUUACUAAUUUUUUCUAGUUUGUGCCCUACACCUUAAAAAUCGCACAGAUUUUUUUUAAAUUAAGGAAAGAAAUGAAAACCUUCAGCUUACCAAAUACACCAUAAUAAACCUCUGACUUCAAGAAGCA